Molecule: long non-coding RNA, 338 nt
Organism: Pan troglodytes (chimpanzee)
Lineage: Eukaryota; Metazoa; Chordata; Mammalia; Primates; Hominidae
Exons: 3
Source: RefSeq, a predicted model, not a curated record
GGGGCCUCAGGGUCUACCCUGACUCGCUUUUCCCGGACGGUCUCCUAGGAGAGAGGCUGUGGCCAGCUGACGCGACUUCCUUCUGCUACUGAGGUGAGAAGUCUUAGGGCAGAUGCGGAUGUCCAGGGCUUCGAGACUGCUCAACAUGAAGAUGAUGAUGAUGAAGAGUUUUAUGAUGAUCCACUUCCACUUAAUGAAUAGACAAGGUCUGGCUCUGUCACCCAGGCUGGAGUGCAGUGGUGAGAUCUCGGCUCACUGCAACCUCCGCCUCCCAAGCUCAAGCAAUCCUCCUGGCUCAGCCUCAGCUGGGAUUACAGGCAUGCGCCAUGGCACCCAAC